This 541-nucleotide ribosomal RNA is filed under the name uncultured archaeon. RNAcentral describes it as "bacterial SSU rRNA". It matches the Rfam family "Archaeal small subunit ribosomal RNA", at positions 1 to 543 of the family's 1478-position model. The record is from RNAcentral.
UCCGGUUGAUCCUGCCAGAGGUUACUGCUAUCGGUGUUCGCCUAAGCCAUGCGAGUCAUAUGUUCUUCGUGAACAUGGCGUACUGCUCAGUAACACGUGGAUAACCUGCCCUUGGGUCUGGGAUAACCCCGGGAAACUGGGGAUAAUACCGGAUAACGCAUAUAUGCUGGAAUGCUUUAUGCGUAAAAUGGAUUCGUCUGCCCAAGGAUGGGUCUGCGGCCUAUCAGGUAGUAGUGGGUGUAAUGUACCUACUAGCCUACAACGGGUACGGGUUGUGAGAGCAAGAGCCCGGAGAUGGAUUCUGAGACAUGAAUCCAGGCCCUACGGGGCGCAGCAGGCGCGAAAACUUUACAAUGCGGGAAACCGUGAUAAGGGGACACCGAGUGCCAGCAUCAUAUGCUGGCUGUCCAGAUGUGUAAAAUACAUCUGUUAGCAAGGGCCGGGCAAGACCGGUGCCAGCCGCCGCGGUAACACCGGCGGCCCGAGUGGUGAUCGUGAUUAUUGGGUCUAAAGGGUCCGUAGCCGGUUUGGUCAGUCCUCC